This 497-nucleotide ribosomal RNA is filed under the name uncultured bacterium. Its description in RNAcentral is "partial 16S ribosomal RNA". It matches the Rfam family "Bacterial small subunit ribosomal RNA", at positions 28 to 507 of the family's 1533-position model. The record is from RNAcentral.
GAUGAACGCUGGCGGCGUGCCUAAUACAUGCAAGUCGAGCGAACGGACGAGAAGCUUGCCUCUCUGAUGUUAGCGGCGGACGGGUGAGUAACGCGUGGAUAACCUACCUAUAAGACUGGGAUAACUUCGGGAAACCGGAGCUAAUACCGGAUAAUAUUUUGAACCGCAUGGUUCAAAAGUGAAAGACGGUCUUGCUGUCACUUAUAGAUGGAUCCGCGCUGCAUUAGCUAGUUGGUAAGGUAACGGCUUACCAAGGCAACGAUGCAUAGCCGACCUGAGAGGGUGAUCGGCCACACUGGAACUGAGACACGGUCCAGACUCCUACGGGAGGCAGCAGUAGGGAAUCUUCCGCAAUGGGCGAAAGCCUGACGGAGCAACGCCGCGUGAGUGAUGAAGGUCUUCGGAUCGUAAAACUCUGUUAUUGGGGAAGAACAUAUGUGUAAGUAACUGUGCACAUCUUGACGGUACCUAAUCAGAAAGCCACGGCUAACUACGUG